Molecule: ribosomal RNA, 1348 nt
Filed under: Opisina arenosella
Lineage: Eukaryota; Metazoa; Arthropoda; Insecta; Lepidoptera; Oecophoridae
Description: 16S ribosomal RNA
Source: RNAcentral
AUAGGGGAAAAAUUAAUAAAAUAAAUUUUUAAUAAAAUAAAUUUUAAUGGGGGUUAAAGUUAAAGUAUUAAAAAAGAAAAAAUUAUUAAUUUUAUAGGGGAUUAGUAUUGUGAAAGAAGUUUGAAAUAAGAUUAAAUAUGAAUUUUUAUAAAAGUAAUUUUUAUUUAAUGUAUCUUGUGUAUCAGAGUUUAUUAAUAAUAAUUUUUAAGGGGAAAAUUUCUCGAAUUUAAAAGAGAGAAUUAAUUAUAAAAGUUAUUGUUGAAAAAAUAUUUUUAAUAAUUAAUUAGAAAUGAAAUGUUAAUCGUUUUUAAAUAUAUCUAGUUUUUUUAGAAAUAAAUUUAAUUUAGAAAUUAAUUUUUUUUUUAGAAAAUUAAUUUUUUUUUUUAAAAAAAUUAAUUUUAAUAAUUUAAGGGAUAAGCUUUAAAUUAAAAAUUUAUAAUAAGAAAAAAUAAUAAUUUGAAAUUUUUAAAAUUUAUAUUGUUUAAAAAUUAUAAUUUUUUAUAAAUAAUUUCAAUUAAAAGUAAAAUUUUAAAUUAAUUAAUAAAUUUAAGUUUUUAUAAAAAAAUAUUUUUUAAUAAAAUUUAAUUAGAUAUAAUGAUAAAAUUAGUAUAAAUAAAAUAAAAAUAAUAUAUUAAAUUAUUUGAGAAAUUAUUUUUAAGGAAUUCGGCAAAUUUUUAUAUUCACUUGUUUAUCAAAAACAUGUCUUUUUGAAAAUAAUUUAAAGUCUAAUCUGCCCACUGAUAAAAAUUAAAGGGCUGCAGUAUUUUGACUGUACAAAGGUAGCAUAAUCAUUAGUCUCUUAAUUGGUGACUUGUAUGAAAGAUUGGAUGAAAUAUAAACUGUCUCUAAAAUAUUUAUAGAAUUUAAUUUUUUAAUUAAAAAGUUAAAAUGAAUUUAAAAGACGAGAAGACCCUAUAGAGUUUUAUAAAUUAUUUAAUAAAUAUUUAUUUAUAAAAAUUAAAAUAAAAAUUGAAUUAUUUAUUUUGUUGGGGUGAUAGAAAAAUUAAAUUAACUUUUUUUAAAAAGAAACAUAAAUAAAUGAAUAUUUGAUCCAUAAUUUUUGAUUAAAAGAAAAAAUUACCUUAGGGAUAACAGCGUAAUUUUUUUUUUUAGUUCAAAUAAAAAAUAAAGUUUGCGACCUCGAUGUUGGAUUAAGAUAAAAUUUAAAUGCAAAAGUUUAAAAUUUUUGAUCUGUUCGAUCAUUAAAAUCUUACAUGAUCUGAGUUCAAACCGGUGUGAGCCAGGUUGGUUUCUAUCUUUAAAAAAAUGAAAUAUUUUAGUACGAAAGGAUCAAAUAUUUAAAAUAGUUUUAUUAUAAUGAAUUUUAGUAAUUAAUUUAUAAAAUAAA